UACGGGGGGGGCUAGCGUUGCUCGGAAUCGCUGGGCGUAAAGGGUGCGUAGGCGGGGCUUUAAGUCAGGGGGGAAAUCCUGGAGCUCAACUCCAGAACUGCCUUCGAUACUGGAGAGCUCGAGUCCGGGAGAGGUGAGUGGAACUGCGAGUGUAGAGGUGAAAUUCGUAGAUAUUCGCAAGAACACCAGUGGCGAAGGCGGCUCACUGGCCCGGUACUGACGCUGAGGUGCGAAAGCGUGGGGAGCAAACAGG
This 253-nucleotide ribosomal RNA is filed under the name uncultured bacterium. RNAcentral describes it as "partial 16S ribosomal RNA". It matches the Rfam family "Bacterial small subunit ribosomal RNA", at positions 524 to 776 of the family's 1533-position model. The record is from RNAcentral.